RNAcentral lists this transfer RNA (73 nucleotides) under Omnitrophica bacterium RIFCSPHIGHO2_02_FULL_63_14. RNAcentral describes it as "tRNA-Glu". It matches the Rfam family "tRNA". Rfam says of the family: Transfer RNA (tRNA) molecules are approximately 80 nucleotides in length. Their secondary structure includes four short double-helical elements and three loops (D, anti-codon, and T loops). The record is from RNAcentral. Lineage: Bacteria; Pseudomonadati; Candidatus Omnitrophota.
GGCCCCAUCGUCUAGUGGCCUAGGACGUCAGGUUCUCAGCCUGAAGACCGGGGUUCGAUUCCCCGUGGGGCUG